This 401-nucleotide ribosomal RNA is filed under the name Pseudomonas sp. 1836. Its description in RNAcentral is "bacterial SSU rRNA". It matches the Rfam family "Bacterial small subunit ribosomal RNA", at positions 84 to 481 of the family's 1533-position model. Lineage: Bacteria; Pseudomonadati; Pseudomonadota; Gammaproteobacteria; Pseudomonadales; Pseudomonadaceae. The record is from RNAcentral.
UUCUCUUGAGAGCGGCGGACGGGUGAGUAAUGCCUAGGAAUCUGCCUAGUGGUGGGGGAUAACGUUCGGAAACGGACGCUAAUACCGCAUACGUCCUACGGGAGAAAGCGGGGGACCUUCGGGCCUCGCGCCAUUAGAUGAGCCUAGGUCGGAUUAGCUAGUUGGUGAGGUAAUGGCUCACCAAGGCUACGAUCCGUAACUGGUCUGAGAGGAUGAUCAGUCACACUGGAACUGAGACACGGUCCAGACUCCUACGGGAGGCAGCAGUGGGGAAUAUUGGACAAUGGGCGAAAGCCUGAUCCAGCCAUGCCGCGUGUGUGAAGAAGGUCUUCGGAUUGUAAAGCACUUUAAGUUGGGAGGAAGGGUAGUAACUUAAUACGUUGCUACUUUGACGUUACCGA